GACUGGGCAUCGGGCAAUUACCUAACUUUGUACAGUGAAACACCCUCCACAUUGCGACCGCAUUUUUAUUACUUUCUCCUUGUUUAUUGGCUUCCUUUUACUUGGCCAAUCCAAACCCAUUCAUUGUAUAGGAAGCUUUUUGGUUCCUUUCCUUGCUAAUUAAGGACUCCAGUCCAGGAAAAACCUAUAAAAGAUUUUGUGGCCACUUGCGCUUUACCUAUCUGGAUUAUGAAUUCAAACCUGAGCUGAAGGGCAUAAUUUCUUGCAGUUAUAUAGAUAUUGGCAGACCCAUUUUGAGUAUAACCCUAUCACCAAUACUGCCUAAGAGAUUUCAAAGAAUCCUACAAACAAAUUUUCCAGAAAAUGUUAAAAGCCCAGUGGCAUGAAAAGUAAAUAAACAACAUUUCUUUGGAUAGGACGGUAACAGAAAUCUCAUCAUCCCCUUGAAAAGAGACAACUUCUUCAAGAAAUAUAUCAAUUAUCAAAGUCUUAACGAGUCACUUUUCCACUCAUGCACUUUUUUUUAUUGCUUUCUUCCGCCCAAAAUUAAAUAUUUCAAUCCCAAGACUAAAACUUUAUGCACAUCAACGUAUUGAAACAAUGAAGCCAAUCCCCUUUCAGCUUGGGAUUUGGGAAUCAAGGCAAAGAAUCAGUCUUUUUCUCUUGAGUAAGAAGGUCAGAUAGGCUUGUUUGUUAUAGGCUGUUCUUUUAUCCACAGUGCUUCCGGAGAAGAUGGAUUUUCAGGUCUCCGGUAAAGAAUGGAAAUGGACUGAGAUGGAUCUUUAGAAAUACGUGGGCUUUCCUUCCCUUAUCGGUGAGAAGAAAGCUAUUUUGACAGAACUGCCUAAUUAAUUAUGUUAUGAGUGUGUUAUUGUUAGCUGUAUGUUCUACUCUAUAACGAUUAUGAAUACUCUUAAGUGUAGCUGUAUGUUCUUGUUAGAUUUCGGGGUACUUCAAAGUUAAUUACUUACUAAGCUGCCCAUUUGAUUAAUAUAAAUCAGUAAUUAAGCAA
Molecule: long non-coding RNA, 1012 nt
Organism: Jatropha curcas
Lineage: Eukaryota; Viridiplantae; Streptophyta; Magnoliopsida; Malpighiales; Euphorbiaceae
Source: RefSeq, a predicted model, not a curated record